AUGUUGGAGGAAAUGAGAGCACUUGAAAAGAACAAGACAUGGGAUAUUGUACCUCUUCCAGCAGGAAAACGACCGGUUAGCUGUAAAUGGGUGUAUACUGUGAAGCAGACUCCUGAAGGAAGGGUAGAAAGAUACAAGGCAAGGUUAGUGGCUAGGGGCUAUAGUCAGACAUACGGGAUUGAUUAUGAUGAGACUUUUGCACCUGUCGCAAAGAUGGGCACAGCGAGAACCUUAAUUUCUUGUGCCACUAACUUUGGUUGGGCUUUGCAUCAGUUAGAUGUAAAGAAUGCAUUCCUACAUGGUGAUUUACAUGAGGAAGUUUACAUGGAGAUUCCACCUGGUUUCUCAAAGCCCGAGACAUCAAGAAAGGUAUGCAAGUUAAGGAAGUCUUUGUAUGGCCUCAAACAGUCUCCACGAGCAUGGUUUGAUAGAUUCAGACGUGCUGUGUGCAAUAUGGGAUAUAAACAGUGCAAUGGGGAUCAUACAGUAUUCUACCGACACUCAAAUUGUCAGAUUACAAUCCUUGCGGUGUAUGUGGAUGAUAUUAUAAUCACCGGAGAUGAUGAUGUGGAAAUAUCACGACUGAAGAAGAGCCUGAGCAAGGAGUUUGAGGCCUGCUUCAACACCUAUUGA
Molecule: ribosomal RNA, 633 nt
Filed under: Triticum aestivum (bread wheat)
Lineage: Eukaryota; Viridiplantae; Streptophyta; Magnoliopsida; Poales; Poaceae
Description: partial small subunit ribosomal RNA
Source: RNAcentral